This 467-nucleotide ribosomal RNA is filed under the name uncultured bacterium. RNAcentral's name for it is "partial 16S ribosomal RNA". It matches the Rfam family "Bacterial small subunit ribosomal RNA", at positions 28 to 507 of the family's 1533-position model. The record is from RNAcentral.
GACGAACGCUGGCGGCGUGCUUAACACAUGCAAGUCGAACGGAAAGGCUCCAGCUUGCUGGAGUCCUCGAGUGGCGAACGGGUGAGUAACACGUGGGUAAUCUGCCCUGCACUCUGGGAUAAGCCUGGGAAACUGGGUCUAAUACUGGAUAUGACCUUUCUCCUUAUGGGGUUUGGUGGAAAGUUUUUCGGUGUAGGAUGAGCCCGCGGCCUAUCAGCUUGUUGGUGGGGUGAUGGCCUACCAAGGCGACGACGGGUAGCCGGCCUGAGAGGGUGAUCGGCCACAUUGGGACUGAGAUACGGCCCAGACUCCUACGGGAGGCAGCAGUGGGGAAUAUUGCACAAUGGGCGGAAGCCUGAUGCAGCGACGCCGCGUGAGGGAUGACGGCCUUCGGGUUGUAAACCUCUUUCAGCAGGGACGAAGCGUAAGUGACGGUACCUGCAGAAGAAGCACCGGCUAACUAUGUG